AUACUUACCUGGCAGGGGAGAUACCAUGAUCACGAAGGCGGUUUUCCCAGGGCAAGGCUUAUCCAUUGCACUCCAGAUGAGCUGACCUCUGCGAUUUCCCCAAAUGCGGGAAACUCGACUGCAUAAUUUGUGGUAGUAGGGGACUGUGUUCGCGCUCUCCCCUG
Molecule: small nuclear RNA, 164 nt
Organism: Heterocephalus glaber (naked mole-rat)
Lineage: Eukaryota; Metazoa; Chordata; Mammalia; Rodentia; Bathyergidae
Gene: U1
Rfam family: U1 spliceosomal RNA
About the family: U1 is a small nuclear RNA (snRNA) component of the spliceosome (involved in pre-mRNA splicing). Its 5' end forms complementary base pairs with the 5' splice junction, thus defining the 5' donor site of an intron. There are significant differences in sequence and secondary structure between metazoan and yeast U1 snRNAs, the latter being much longer (568 nucleotides as compared to 164 nucleotides in human).
Source: Ensembl